Molecule: long non-coding RNA, 975 nt
Organism: Daktulosphaira vitifoliae (grape phylloxera)
Lineage: Eukaryota; Metazoa; Arthropoda; Insecta; Hemiptera; Phylloxeridae
Exons: 3
Source: RefSeq, a predicted model, not a curated record
UGUUUACUAACAAGUGCAUAUUUUAAAAUAAAAAUGACAACAUACAACAGACAUUAAAACUUAUACUGAAAAUUAAAUGGAAAAAAAAAUGGAGAAUAAGGUUUGAUAGUAAAAGUUUUCUAUUACUGAAUACAUCAGUUCCCUACAUGUGUUGUAGAUAUAUUGGUAUAAAAUUGUUUGUAAUGAAUUAAAAAAAUUAUCAGAAAAAUGCAUAUUUCUUAAUUAAAAGUAUCUCAUUGUUUGCCUCCCGCCUCUGCACCACACAUCUAGUCAUAUAAAUGUCAGAUUCUAUACAUAGACAUCUGAUAAGCACUAUUACUCAAAAUUAUUUUUGUGUAUUAUAAAAUUAUUUCUAUGUAUUUUACUGAUGUUCGAAUUACAUUUACUAUUAACGACUACAUAACUAAACACCACCAGCUACAUUUUUUUAAUAAUAUCUAUAUCGCUUAAAUACAUUGAGAGUUUGAAUGAAUUUGCGAGUGGAAUAAUAGUUGCUAUUGAUUUCCACCUCUUAUACAAAAAGGAAUUAAAAUAGUCGAUCUAUUUAUAAGCACAACUGCAGAGUGACUACUAAUCCUCAUUAUAACGGAUCCUCACUUAGUUUUCUAUUAAGCAAAAUACUGAAAACUUCUGUAUAUUUUGAAAAAUGUUUUAAAUAAAAAUGUAUUCUUAAUAUUAAGUAUAUUUUUUUAUUUAAUAAUUAGUUUAUAAACCCAUAAAGGUUCAAGAACAACGUAAGGUUGCGUAUGAAUAAUCAAGAAAUAUAUUUUAAUUAAAAUGAAGAAUAUAUUAUGUCCAGUAUCUCCAGCGUCUUGCUUUACUUGCCCCUUUGGCCAUCCAGCAAGGCAAAUCGAUGACUUCCAUGUCAAUUGUCAUCGGUGUACAGUUCAUUGUCGUUCUUCUUCUGAAGGUAAUGCUAUGUGUUCAAGUCUUUCAAAUGGCUUUAUUCUGGGUAAUAGGUUUUCUUUGUACAUA